Prionailurus viverrinus (fishing cat) is the source of this 504-nucleotide long non-coding RNA. RefSeq lists it as uncharacterized. The transcript is spliced from 3 exons. Lineage: Eukaryota; Metazoa; Chordata; Mammalia; Carnivora; Felidae. The record is from RefSeq and is a predicted model, not a curated record.
UGAGGAAUACGUCUGUCGGUGACGCCGCCCCGUCGACGGGAUUUUGUUACGGUAGCCACAGCAGCUAAGACAGAUCUUCUGCUUUCAACUCUUUGGGGGGCUCCGUGCUUUUCCAGUUUGUUGCACUCAGCCCUGUUUCUAGUCUGACGCUUGCUUGGAGGAUUUCUUGCUUAGUGCCUGCCUGUCCAUACUAUGCCCGGAGCUCGCUAGAUGCAAGGGACAUUUGUUUUAUUCACUGCUAUACCCUCCGGCAUGACGCUCAACCAUAACAGGGGAGACCGGAACUGGCUGCGAUGAAUGCGAGGAAGUCUUUAUAAUGAACAGGAUCUCACUGCUGUUUACACAAACACUUUCAGCGACACGGGGAGCCAACAGACCAUUCCGCACGUCUGAUGAGUGCUUAUGGCCAGUGGCCACUGGAGCAGCACAGCCGAGAAGUCACGGCCACCAUCUCUUGCGAGACGCCAGGACAAGGUUUUUGGAGGACGAGUCUGGCAACAGUGU